UAGCUAGUUGGUGAGGUAAAGGCUUACCAAGGCGACGAUCUGUAGCGGGUCUGAGAGGAUGAUCCGCCACACUGGAACUGAGACACGGUCCAGACUCCUACGGGAGGCAGCAGUGGGGAAUUUUGGACAAUGGGGGCAACCCUGAUCCAGCCAUGCCGCGUGAGUGAAGAAGGCCUUCGGGUUGUAAAGCUCUUUCGGCCGGGAAGAAAUCGCAUGGGCCAAUACCCUGUGUGGAUGACGGUACCGGAAUAAGAAGCACCGGCUAACUACGUGCCAGCAGCCGCGGUAAUACGUAGGGUGCGAGCGUUAAUCGGAAUUACUGGGCGUAAAGCGUGCGCAGGCGGUUUUGUAAGACAGGCGUGAAAUCCCCGGGCUUAACCUGGGAACUGCGUUUGUGACUGCAAGGCUAGAGUACGGCAGAGGGGGGUGGAAUUCCACGUGUAGCAGUGAAAUGCGUAGAGAUGUGGAGGAACACCAAUGGCGAAGGCAGCCCCCUGGGUCGAUACUGACGCUCAUGCACGAAAGCGUGGGUAGCAAACAGGAUUAGAUACCCUGGUAGUCCACGCCCUAAACUAUGUCAACUAGGUGUUGGGUGGGUAAAUCCAUUUAGUACCGUAGCUAACGCGUGAAGUUGACCGCCUGGGGAGUACGGCCGCAAGGUUAAAACUCAAAGGAAUUGACGGGGACCCGCACAAGCGGUGGAUGAUGUGGAUUAAUUCGAUGCAACGCGAAAAACCUUACCUACCCUUGACAUGCCAGGAACUUGCCAGAGAUGGCUUGGUGCCCGAAAGGGAGCCUGGACACAGGUGCUGCAUGGCUGUCGUCUGCUCGUGUCGUGAGAUGUUGGGUUAAGUCCCGCAACGAGCGCAACCCUUGUCGUUAAUUGCCAUCAUUUAGUUGGGCACUUUAACGAGACUGCCGGUGGCAAACCGGAGGAAGGUGGGGAUGACGUCAAGUCCUCAUGGCCCUUAUGGGUAGGGCUUCACACGUCAUACAAUGGUCGGUACAAAGGGUUGCCAAGCCGCGAGGCGGAGCCAAUCCCAGAAAGCCGAUCGUAGUCCGGAUUGCAGGCUGCAACUCGCCUGCAUGAAGUCGGAAUCGCUAGUAAUCGUGGAUCAGCAUGUCACGGUGAAUACGUUCCCGGGUCUUGUACACACCGCCCGUCACACCAUGGGAGCGGGUUCCGCCAGAAGUAGGUAGCCUAACCGCAAGGGGGGCGCUUACCACGGCGGGGUUCGUGACUGGGGUGAAGUCGUAACAAGGUAGCCGUAGGGGAACCUGCGGCUA
Molecule: ribosomal RNA, 1287 nt
Filed under: metagenome
Description: bacterial SSU rRNA
Rfam family: Bacterial small subunit ribosomal RNA
Source: RNAcentral